RNAcentral lists this small RNA (182 nucleotides) under Arabidopsis thaliana (thale cress). RNAcentral describes it as "ATSL295960". The stretch from base 1 to 113 matches the Rfam family "Small nucleolar RNA Z107/R87". From Rfam's summary of the family: Z107 and R87 are members of the C/D class of snoRNA which contain the C (UGAUGA) and D (CUGA) box motifs. Most of the members of the box C/D family function in directing site-specific 2'-O-methylation of substrate RNA The record is from RNAcentral. Lineage: Eukaryota; Viridiplantae; Streptophyta; Magnoliopsida; Brassicales; Brassicaceae.
GAUUGGCAGUGAUGACUCGGAAAUUUCAAGCUCAACAGACCGGAAUUAGGCGUUUCUUCCAAUUUAUUGGUUGAGUCGUUUCUGUGUCGAUAACCCCGCUGAUCUGAGCCUUCCUCUCUUUUCAUUUGAUUCUGAUUUGUUUGCGUUUUCGAAUUUGAAAUUCUCUGGUAAUCGAUUUAUAC